This 871-nucleotide ribosomal RNA is filed under the name uncultured bacterium. RNAcentral describes it as "bacterial SSU rRNA". It matches the Rfam family "Bacterial small subunit ribosomal RNA", at positions 58 to 916 of the family's 1533-position model. The record is from RNAcentral.
CAAGUCGAACGGCAGCACAGGAGAGCUUGCUCUCUGGGUGGCGAGUGGCGGACGGGUGAGGAAUAUAUCGGAAUCUACCCUUUCGUGGGGGAUAACGUAGGGAAACUUACGCUAAUACCGCAUACGAACUGAGGUUGAAAGCGGCGGACCGCAAGGCGUCGCGCGGAUGGAUGAGCCGAUAUCCGAUUAGCUAGUUGGCGGGGUAAAGGCCCACCAAGGCGACGAUCGGUAGCUGGUCUGAGAGGAUGAUCAGCCACACUGGAACUGAGACACGGUCCAGACUCCUACGGGAGGCAGCAGUGGGGAAUAUUGGACAAUGGGCGCAAGCCUGAUCCAGCCAUGCCGCGUGUGUGAAGAAGGCCUUCGGGUUGUAAAGCACUUUUGUUGGGAAAGAAAAGCGGUCGGUUAAUACCCGGUCGUUCUGACGGUACCCAAAGAAUAAGCACCGGCUAACUUCGUGCCAGCAGCCGCGGUAAUACGAAGGGUGCAAGCGUUACUCGGAAUUACUGGGCGUAAAGCGUGCGUAGGUGGUUUGUUAAGUCAGAUGUGAAAGCCCCGGGCUCAACCUGGGAAUUGCAUUUGAUACUGGCAGACUAGAGUGCGGUAGAGGAGAGUGGAAUUCCCGGUGUAGCAGUGAAAUGCGUAGAGAUCGGGAGGAACAUCAGUUGCGAAGGCGGCUCUCUGGACCAGCACUGACACUGAGGCACGAAAGCGUGGGGGAGCAAACAGGAUUAGAUACCCUGGUAGUCCACGCCCUAAACGAUGCGAACUGGACGUUGGGAUCAAUUGAGAUUUCAGUGUCGAAGCUAACGCGUUAAGUUCGCCGCCUGGGGAGUACGGUCGCAAGACUGAAACUCAAAGGAAUUGACGG